Molecule: non-coding RNA, 25 nt
Filed under: Cricetulus griseus (Chinese hamster)
Lineage: Eukaryota; Metazoa; Chordata; Mammalia; Rodentia; Cricetidae
Source: RNAcentral
CAAGGAAAUCAUGGGAAACUGUUAU